CACUGGUUGAGAGCUGGGAUCGCUCUUAUGAUGAGUCAAAGACAGGACGAAACCAGUG
RNAcentral lists this non-coding RNA (58 nucleotides) under Helianthus annuus (common sunflower). Lineage: Eukaryota; Viridiplantae; Streptophyta; Magnoliopsida; Asterales; Asteraceae. The record is from RNAcentral.